Molecule: long non-coding RNA, 907 nt
Organism: Chelonia mydas (Green sea turtle)
Lineage: Eukaryota; Metazoa; Chordata; Testudines; Cheloniidae
Exons: 2
Source: RefSeq, a predicted model, not a curated record
CACCCAGCCACUUUUCCAUCGAGGUGAGGGGUUUAGAUCAGUGUGGGUGAGUCCCGCAUUGUCCCUUUGCUUCUACAAGCAGAAGGGACUGGAAUUCGGAUCCCACUAAAGCGGCUCAGGAAUUGCUUGACAGGAUCAGAUCAAAGGUGGAAGUAUAAAGCGGAAAUUCAGAAAUCCAGCCAGGCAUGUCCAGGUGAAAUCUCAUUUUGAUUUGGCCAAGUUACAACAUUUUGAAAAUCAUUCUUUGUGAGUGAUCAGUCAGUUCGUGUAAAUGUGGAGUAACUCCAGUGCAUCACUCAGGGGGUGGAUUUCUAGUUGUACCGAUGUACGUUUAUAGCGGAGACCUGGCCUGAGCAGCUGACGCAGCUACACCUGCUUAACUCCUGAGCUGUAAAGAGUUUUCUGUGCGAGGUCUGAUUUGCAGUGGCUACGUACCGAUUACCUGUUGCUUUUCCAGGAGAACAGUGGGAACUUGGUAUCACGAACAACUUUGAGCACAAUUGUAUUCUGUGCAGUCUUCCUCUUUGUUCUUUUUGAAAGUACCGCCCGAUGGUGCAGGCAGGGCAGUCCGGUCCGGUACACCAUACCACUAAGAUAGUUAUAGCCGGUACAGUGUACCGGAAAGACACAGGAGGAACCUGCCCCCAGCUCUCUAUGUGUUAUGUGGACUGCAUCCAUGAAAUAUAUAGCGACCCCUGCAAAUCUCUGGAUAUCCACUUCAUAUCCACGGACCAUUUUUGCAGACAGUGGAUCGGAUGUGGAGACAGCCACACAGGGUUCUACUCACCGGCGGCACCUGGCCCUCAGCAUCCGGCUUGGGCAGCCUGCGGGGCACAGUGUGCUCAGGGCUGGCGACCAGCAGCCAGUGGCUCGGGCUGGGUGGGAGGCUGGAGUCGGGGCUGUCCAG